UAGAUACCCUAUUAUAUUAAGAUUAAAUUAAAAUAAAUACUGAAUUACUAAUAGUUAUUUACUUAAAAUUUAAAGAAUUUGGCGGUAAUUUAGUCUUGUUAGAGGAACUUGUUUUAAAUUUAUCGAUAAACCACGUAGAAUCUUACUUAUUUUAAUAGUUUGUAUACCAUCAUUAUUAGAUAAUUUUUAAAAAAUGUUAAUUAUUGGGAGUAAUUAUAUUAAAUAAAUUAGAUCAAGGUGCAGCUUAUAAAUAAGUUAAAAUGAGUUACAAUAAUAUUAUUUAUUACGAAAAAAUUUAGUAAGUAAAAUUGAAGAAGGAGGAUUUAAUUGUAAUAUAAAUUUAAUAAGUUUAUAUGAUAGAAGCUCUAAAUUAUGUACACAUCGCGGUUCACUUCUCA
This 398-nucleotide ribosomal RNA is filed under the name Potamon gedrosianum. RNAcentral's name for it is "partial small subunit ribosomal RNA". Lineage: Eukaryota; Metazoa; Arthropoda; Malacostraca; Decapoda; Potamidae. The record is from RNAcentral.